UCCGGGAGGCACUUGGCCAUGUCGAGACGCCUGAUUUUGUUCCCUGGCGAGCAGAGGAGACACCGCGAUCGAAAUUUUACUCGGUUACCUCCCAGAUGAAAUUUCUUUUCUCAUUUGGUUCAAACUGAUGGAAAGGGAUAUUGGUGAUUUUUUUCCCCAUUUAAGAUCCAAGAUGAAAAGAACCAUGAGUCACAUGGUAAGAGGC
Molecule: long non-coding RNA, 205 nt
Filed under: Mustela putorius furo (domestic ferret)
Lineage: Eukaryota; Metazoa; Chordata; Mammalia; Carnivora; Mustelidae
Description: lncRNA (ENSMPUG00000027239.1)
Source: RNAcentral